Molecule: ribosomal RNA, 381 nt
Filed under: bacterium M8A-308-16S
Lineage: Bacteria
Description: bacterial SSU rRNA
Rfam family: Bacterial small subunit ribosomal RNA
Source: RNAcentral
GGGGAGCGGCAGACGGGUGAGUAACGCGUGGGAAUCUACCCAUCUCUACGGAAUAACUCAGGGAAACUUGUGCUAAUACCGUAUACGCCCUUCGGGGGAAAGAUUUAUCGGAGAUGGAUGAGCCCGCGUUGGAUUAGCUAGUUGGUGGGGUAAAGGCCUACCAAGGCGACGAUCCAUAGCUGGUCUGAGAGGAUGAUCAGCCACAUUGGGACUGAGACACGGCCCAAACUCCUACGGGAGGCAGCAGUGGGGAAUAUUGGACAAUGGGCGCAAGCCUGAUCCAGCCAUGCCGCGUGAGUGAUGAAGGCCUUAGGGUUGUAAAGCUCUUUCACCGGAGAAGAUAAUGACGGUAUCCGGAGAAGAAGCCCCGGCUAACUUCGU